RNAcentral lists this transfer RNA (75 nucleotides) under Mus musculus (house mouse). Its description in RNAcentral is "tRNA-Ala". The record is from RNAcentral. Lineage: Eukaryota; Metazoa; Chordata; Mammalia; Rodentia; Muridae.
GCCAGAGUGGUAGCUCAGUGGUAGAGAACUUGCCUAGCAUGUGCAAAGCCCUGGGUUCAAUCCCCAGCAUUGGGG